AUGAACGCUGGCGGCGUGCCUAAUACAUGCCAGUCGAGCGAACGGACGAGAAGCUUGCUUUUCUGAUGUUAGCGGCGGACGGGUGAGUAACACGUGGAUAACCUACCUAUAAGACUGGGAUAACUUCGGGAAACCGGAGCUAAUACCGGAUAAUAUUUUGAACCGCAUGGUUCAAAAGUGAAAGACGGUCUUGCUGUCACUUAUAGAUGGAUCCGCGCUGCAUUAGCUAGUUGGUAUGGUAACGGCUUACCAAGGCAACGAUGCAUAGCCGACCUGAGAGGGUGAUCGGCCACACUGGAACUGAGACACGGUCCAGACUCCUACGGGAGGCAGCAGUAGGGAAUCUUCCGCAAUGGGCGAAAGCCUGACGGAGCAACGCCGCGUGAGUGAUGAAGGUCUUCGGAUCGUAAAACUCUGUUAUUAGGGAAGAACAUAUGUGUAAGUAACUGUGCACAUCUUGACGGUACCUAAGCAGAAAGCCACGGCUAACUACGU
This 495-nucleotide ribosomal RNA is filed under the name uncultured bacterium. Its description in RNAcentral is "partial 16S ribosomal RNA". It matches the Rfam family "Bacterial small subunit ribosomal RNA", at positions 29 to 506 of the family's 1533-position model. The record is from RNAcentral.